This 207-nucleotide ribosomal RNA is filed under the name uncultured delta proteobacterium. RNAcentral's name for it is "partial 16S ribosomal RNA". It matches the Rfam family "Bacterial small subunit ribosomal RNA", at positions 568 to 774 of the family's 1533-position model. Lineage: Bacteria; Deltaproteobacteria. The record is from RNAcentral.
CGUGUAGGCGGCCGGCCAAGUCGGAUGUGAAAGCCCUCGGCUCAACCGAGGAAGUGCGUUCGAUACUAGCUGGCUCGAGUACCGGAGAGGGUGGUGGAAUUCCCGGUGUAGAGGUGAAAUUCGUAGAUAUCGGGAGGAACACCAGUGGCGAAGGCGACCACCUGGACGGAUACUGACGCUGAGACGCGAAAGCGUGGGGAGCAAACA